This 954-nucleotide ribosomal RNA is filed under the name Tetraclita singaporensis. Its description in RNAcentral is "SSU rRNA". It matches the Rfam family "Eukaryotic small subunit ribosomal RNA", at positions 472 to 1384 of the family's 1831-position model. The record is from RNAcentral. Lineage: Eukaryota; Metazoa; Arthropoda; Thecostraca; Balanomorpha; Tetraclitidae.
AAUAAAUACCUUACAGAGGUCUCGUUAACCGAGAUCUCUCAAACGGAAUGAGUACAACGUGAAUCCUUUAACGAGGAUCGACUGGAGGGCAAGCCUGGUGCCAGCAGCCGCGGUAAUUCCAGCUCCAGUAGCGUAUAUUAAAGCUGUUGCGGUUAAAAAGCUCGUAGUUGGAUAUCAGUGCGUGUCCGGUCCGGUAUGCCUGGCGCUGUCGCUCACGCGGCAAUGCUGGGCUCCCAAAUAUCGGCUGGCCGCAUUCAAUCGUGCCGGAUCCGUCGACGGGCCGUUCUUCGGAGGGGCCUGUUGGCGACCGGCGACGUUACCUUGAACAAAUUAGAGUGCUCAAAGCAGGCUCUGAAUGCCUGUAUACAUAUUCAUGGAAUUGGAGAAUACGUCCCUGGCUCGAUUUGGUUGGUUUUGAGAGUCGAAGGGAAAUGAUUAAUAGGGACUGACGGAGGCAUUCGUAUUGCGACGCGAGGGGUGAAAUCCUGUGACCGUCGCACGACGAACUACUGCGAAAGCAUUUGCCGAGAAUGUUUUCAUUAGUCAAGAACGAAAGUUAGAGGUUCGAAGGCGAUCAGAUACCGCCCUAGUUCUAACCGUAAACGAUGUCGACCAGCAAUCCGCAACGGUCACUACACGGACUGUGCGGGCAGCUUCCCCGGGGAAACCAGAGUUUUUGGACUCCGGGGGAAGUAUGGUUGCAAAGCUGAAACUUAAAGGAAUUGACGGAAGGGCACCACCAGGAGUGGAGCUUGCGGCUUAAUUUGACUCAACACGGGACAACUCACCAGGCCCGGACACCGUAAGGAUUGACAGACUGAUAGCUCUCUCUUGAUUCAGUGGGUGGUGGUGCAUGGCCGUUCUUAGUUGGUGGAGUGAUUUGUCUGGUUUAUUCCGAUAACGAACGAGACUCUGGCCUAUUAAACUUGACGCUGUCAGUCUCUUGUGACUGCG